RNAcentral lists this ribosomal RNA (253 nucleotides) under uncultured bacterium. RNAcentral describes it as "partial 16S ribosomal RNA". It matches the Rfam family "Bacterial small subunit ribosomal RNA", at positions 524 to 776 of the family's 1533-position model. The record is from RNAcentral.
UACAGAGGUGGCAAGCGUUGUUCGGAAUUACUGGGCGUAAAGGGCGCGUAGGCGGUCUUCUAAGUCUUGUGUGAAAUCCCUCGGCUCAACCAAGGAAGUGCAUCCGAAACUGCUGAGCUUGAGUACGAAAGAGGAUCGCGGAAUUCCCGGUGUAGAGGUGAAAUUCGUAGAUAUCGGGAGGAACACCAGUGGCGAAGGCGGCGAUCUGGGUCGAUACUGACGCUGAGGUGCGAAAGCGUGGGGAGCAAACAGG